AACGAACGCUGGCGGCAUGCCUAACACAUGCAAGUCGAACGAGACCUUCGGGUCUAGUGGCGCACGGGUGCGUAACGCGUGGGAAUCUACCCUCAGGUUCGGAAUAACUCAGAGAAAUUUGAGCUAAUACCGGAUGAUGACGUAAGUCCAAAGAUUUAUCGCCUGAGGAUGAGCCCGCUUAGGAUUAGGUAGUUGGUGAGGUAAAGGGUCACCAAGCCGACGAUCCUUAGCUGGUCUGAGAGGAUGAUCAGCCACACUGGGACUGAGACACGGCCCAGACUCCUACGGGAGGCAGCAGUGGGGAAUAUUGGACAAUGGGCGAAAGCCUGAUCCAGCAAUGCCGCGUGGGUGAUGAAGGCCUUAGGGUUGUAAAGCUCUUUUACCCGGGAUGAUAAUGACAGUACCAGGAGAAUAAGCUCCGGCUAACUCCGUG
Molecule: ribosomal RNA, 433 nt
Filed under: uncultured bacterium
Lineage: Bacteria
Description: partial 16S ribosomal RNA
Rfam family: Bacterial small subunit ribosomal RNA
Source: RNAcentral